Molecule: ribosomal RNA, 336 nt
Filed under: Triticum aestivum (bread wheat)
Lineage: Eukaryota; Viridiplantae; Streptophyta; Magnoliopsida; Poales; Poaceae
Description: partial small subunit ribosomal RNA
Source: RNAcentral
AUGAUCAGAUGUUCUCAUUUGACUCCUAAGUCAAUAUACUCAUAUAUAGAUGACCUAGUCAUUGCCAAUUGCUUGAUAGAUGCUAGAGUGUUUGUGCAUGCUUUGCCACAUAUUACAUUUGCUAUCUUAUUGUGUGAGCAUGUUGGUUGGAUAAUUUUAUUCAUUCAAGGACAUCCAUUUGUUGCUUUGAUUGUUUGGCUUUCUUCUUCUUCUUGCCAAAUGGAUGGGCAAGAAUGCCUAAGUACUCCCUCUAGCUAUCUAUGCUUUUAUCAUCUCAAACUCUAUUCAUGCUACAUUACAAAGUUUGAUCAAGUCAGAUUUGAACCCUUUGGGUGA